This is a long non-coding RNA of Planococcus citri (citrus mealybug), 403 nucleotides long. RefSeq lists it as uncharacterized. The record is from RefSeq and is a predicted model, not a curated record. The transcript has 2 exons. NCBI's taxonomy places the organism in Eukaryota, Metazoa, Arthropoda, Insecta, Hemiptera, Pseudococcidae.
GAAAUUUACGAUGAUAAUGGUAAUAAAUGAGACGUAUCCGCGAUAAUUCUACGAUAAGUACAACCAAGUCCUAUGUGAACCAUUUUCUUUAUUCCAUACCAAUAAUACAUCAUGUUAAGAACAAAACAAAGCAAUUUGCGCUACAAAUGUAAAAAGAUGCAUGACACAUUUUCACUAAUUUUUCUCUCGCGUAUGUUCAAAAAUUUUUCAUGAAGUUACACUGUUGAUUUAUUUCAAUAACUUGGUAACAUGCGAUUCUGGAAAACUCACCCAAAAAAUUCAAUUUUAACUCGUGCUAAAUGUCUUCCCUUUCCUUGUACAUAUACAUUAAAAUUAAAAUAGGGAAGCAUUAAAAUACUGAACUGACUGUUUUAAUUUAAAAAAAAAAAAAAAAAAAACUAAA